RNAcentral lists this ribosomal RNA (253 nucleotides) under uncultured bacterium. RNAcentral's name for it is "partial 16S ribosomal RNA". It matches the Rfam family "Bacterial small subunit ribosomal RNA", at positions 524 to 776 of the family's 1533-position model. The record is from RNAcentral.
UACGGAGGGUGCGAGCGUUAAUCGGAAUUACUGGGCGUAAAGGGUCCGCAGGGGGUUUGUCAAGUCUGAUGUGAAAUCCCGAGGCUCAACCUCGGAACUGCAUUGGAAACUGAUGAACUGGAGUACUGGAGAGGAAAGUGGAAUUCUUGGUGUAGCGGUGGAAUGCUUAGAUAUCAAGAGGAACAUCAAUAGCGAAGGCAGCUUUCUGGACAGUUACUGACCCUCAUGGACGAAAGCGUGGGUAGCAAACAGG